Molecule: ribosomal RNA, 194 nt
Filed under: uncultured bacterium
Lineage: Bacteria
Description: partial 16S ribosomal RNA
Rfam family: Bacterial small subunit ribosomal RNA
Source: RNAcentral
CCUACGGGAGGCAGCAGUGGGGAAUUUUGGACAAUGGGCGAAAGCCUGAUCCAGCCAUGCCGCGUGCAGGAUGAAGACCUUCGGGUUGUAAACUGCUUUUGUGCGGAACGAAAAGACUCUGGUUAAUACCUGGGGUCCAUGACGGUACCGUAAGAAUAAGCACCGGCUAACUACGUGCCAGCAGCCGCGGUAAU